UCAGCUAUACACAGCCAAUUGUAGACAGAGAAAAUGACUUCCUUAAUUUCUCCUAAACUAUGCAACACAUCUCUUCUUACUUGUAACAAACCCAAAUUUUCUCAACCCCUUCAAAUCAGAGCCCAAAUCCGCAGAGAUCAUGAAGGCAGAUCUAGAAAUAUGGUGGACGCCAAUUUACACCUACUGAAGGUGAGGAUGGAGGAAAUGAGGAACAAGGAGAGGCUAGAGAGAUGCUGCGUAGCUGAACAAGGAUGGAACUAUGCAGCUGUUGAAACCUUCAGAACUAAAAGUGAUAAUAAUAAUAAUGAUAUUAUUCCUCAAGAAUUUGUUGAGCUUUUGGGAGUGGUUGGUGCAACUUUUGGAUUUACAAUUUCUGGUUGCACCUUUUGCAUCUACCUCAUUUCCUUUCUGCUUCAUUUGUACCAGUGACUUCUUCUUGUAGAUUAAACCAUUAAAUAUUUUUUAUUUUUUAAA
Molecule: non-coding RNA, 474 nt
Organism: Salvia hispanica
Lineage: Eukaryota; Viridiplantae; Streptophyta; Magnoliopsida; Lamiales; Lamiaceae
Source: RefSeq, a predicted model, not a curated record